CACACACACAUAUUUCAAGGUUUCACAAAUAGGAUUUGACAUUUGAAGGAGGCAGUAGAGACAAGUCACAGAGGUGUGUCCUUCUACAGAGAUCCUUUUGCCUCUGAUUACUGUAUCCUAGGAUUAAAGGUGGCACAUAUCGGCACGUGAAGCAUGAAUCAGCUUCUGAGCACUAGGUUUUGUGGGGACAGAAGCCAGGUUGGAUUGUAAUGUGAAAGAUAAAAUUGGUCAGAACGAACAGUCACUCCAGUAAAUCUUCAUAGGAAAAGUUGAGAGUCACUGAAGGAGAGAUGAAAGAGAUGACACUUCGGUUGAACUCUUGUCAUUUCAAAGAUUGGAAUGGUUAAAAAUACAGAUCAUGAGAGAGGAAAUUGUGGAGGUCAGAAAAGUUAAAUGUAUUUGCAGACAACAAGACCGUGGAACUCUACUAGUUAGGGAAGAAUGUGAAAGGUGCAGGAAGCUAAGGAAGAGGGAUCGUCAGUUGAUGGAGAUUUGGGGGUCAGAAGAGGCAACAGGCAGCCCUGAGUUGUGAGCUGCAGACUGGAGGCAUGCAUUGCAGACUCAGAUGAGUCAUUGAGAUCUGGAGACAGUUGGUGCUUUUGACACACAUGUAACUAAUGGCAGGUAAGUGAGGUUGGACAGGGGGAAGUCCAGGGAUAGAUAGAGGCCUUUAAAAAUGAGGACGGAAUUUGGGCUGAAAAAGACAAAGCAUAAUGAACUGUAAGAGAAGACGGUGAGGAGGAAAGAUGGAGGAGCCACAUGCUGGGGGCUUUAAUGAAGCUGCUGCUUUGGAGGGAGAAACAAUGGAGAAAGUCUGGGAUGCAGUAGGGAGAGCAGAAACCUCCAUCCUGAUCCCUAGAUACAUUGUCUUAAGGGGUCAGAAAGGGGCCCAAGUCUAAUGUCUGUAACUUCCAUGAAGAUGAACUGAGAUAUGUGACCUGACACAAGCACACCACCCCCAGUCAAUUAAUAAACAUAAUUUAAAAAUGAAAAGGGCUCAGGGUGUAGCUCAGGCAUAGAGUGAGUUUCUGGAUCAUUUCUUUUAUAUUAGUAAACUGGAACAGACAACCUUCCUUUUCAUGGCAAUAGUUUUGAUGCAGAUCUUACAGAUUACAUUUAAUUACAUUAUUUUCAUUUAGUACUUUUAAAUUCAAGACAGAAAAUAAGAUUACUCAGGUUAGGGCUGUUCAGUGUAGGGCUAAAUGUGUAAUGGCAUGUUGGCUCCAAUUAGCUUAUUGGAAAGAAUUUUCAAAGUUGGGGCAAGCAUGAUUCUAAAUUUGAGACUACUGGAGAGGAAGUCCCAUGAGGGGUGAUAAGGUGAUUCGUCAAUUAAAAUAUAAGUGCAAUGCAAUGAACUAAGUAAUGCUAGGUGAUAGUUUAGACUGAAUGUUGAUGACAAGUGUCUCUGCUGGUGAGUUUUAGAUGAGCUCUGAAUGGCAAGUGGCCGUUCUUCAAUAACCCGAGAGAAAAGCGUUCUAUGCAGAGUAGAGACCUUCAGCAAAAUCUUUAAGGAAAGAUGCACCAGUAUGUGAGGACAGAAGGAGGUGUUAGAGUGGACUGAGUGGAGCCCAGAUGAGGAUGAAGAAGAAGAUGAGCUGCUCUUAGCUGAUGCCAGCACAGGGUAAUGCCAGGAGGCCGAGGCUGGGUGCAGUUCCACAUGAAGAAGAAUACACUGUAGAGCAGUGGGUCGGAGGCCUGGGUCUCAGCUGGGAUGUGUUGGAGACUGUUGUACUUGACCAGACGGUGAUGGUGACUUAGGCAGCGCUUGUUUUAUG
RNAcentral lists this long non-coding RNA (1775 nucleotides) under Mus musculus (house mouse). Its description in RNAcentral is "long non-coding RNA chr18:70583895-70585670". The record is from RNAcentral. Lineage: Eukaryota; Metazoa; Chordata; Mammalia; Rodentia; Muridae.